RNAcentral lists this long non-coding RNA (2404 nucleotides) under Helianthus annuus (common sunflower). RNAcentral describes it as "hypothetical non coding rna". Lineage: Eukaryota; Viridiplantae; Streptophyta; Magnoliopsida; Asterales; Asteraceae. The record is from RNAcentral.
UGAUUCCUUAUUUCCUUCUUUAGUUAAAAAAAAAAGAAAACUCUAAUACCUAAUCUCUCUCAACUCUCUCAACUACUGCAGCCGACAUCAUCAAGAUCCACCGCACCACGGCAAUCCGGCAUCCACCGCUCCACUGCACCGGCAUCAAGAUCCUCCCAUGUCCGCCUGCAUCCACCGCUGGCCAUCCACCACGCAUAGCACUCCGGCAGUUCAAAAUUUGCCGAUAUCAGAUCUGAAUCUAAAUUGAAGUUCGGUUUGAUUCGGAGUUGAAGAUUGGAACAAAUAACAGUAUGUGCAGCUGAAUGGUUUGGGUAUUUUGAAUAAGAACUGUUGAUUAAAAUCGAAGUCGGAUACUUUUAGUUCAUUUCGGAAACUAAAAACUGGAUUUUGUUGGAUCAGGCCCCUUUUUUAGGACUUUAAGGUUCCUGUAAUAGCAUAAACAAUGUGUGAAUCACAGUUUGAUUUUUUUUUAAUCACAGUUUGAUUUUUUAGUGUUCGUUAACAGGUAUUAACAGCUAAUUUUCGUGUAUAUCGUGUCGUGUUCGUGUUUGAAAAAAAGGACACGAAAUCUUAUCGUGUCGUGUUCGUGUAUGGCCUUUCGUGUAUCGUGUCUUAUCGUGUCGUAUCUUAUCGGGUACGGGUAUACACGAUAUGUCAGCCCUAGUUCCAAAUAGCUUUUGGCUUGGUGAAACUUAUUAUGUGGAACAACUUCUAUACAUUUGACAAAUCACCAAGCUAAUAUCUGUAUCUUAUCUAUUACAAUUCAUCACCAAAUCUAUACUUAUACUUUAGUCUCACCAAAUUUAUUUAAUAAAAAUACAAAAUAUUUAGAAAUUACAAUAACGAACCCACUACAAACAGUGAUAUAAUGUGCCUUUGUACAACAAAAGUGAAAUGAUUGAAAUCCAAAACCAUAAAAAAAUCAAUAAAUAAAAUGAAUUUAGUAAACAAACACUGUUAGAAGCCCUUUAUCUAAGACCGUCCGUAGUGGAGCGUUUUUUUUUUUUUUAAAUUGCAAAAAUAACGCCAUAUAACGCCCAAACCCCCAUUACACGGGGCGUUUUGGGGCGUGAUUUUUGAAAAAAAAAAACGUUUUGGCGUUUUAAUUAAAACGCUAUGCACAUAUGGUUUUAACCAAUCAGUUUUGAGCAUUCCCUGACAACUUUUGACAACCUCACUUUUGUUUUAAAUGCCCUGACAACAUGCAUUUGUUGUUUGUUGACUAGCCAAUGGAGUAAUGACAACAUGCACAGGACCCGAAAGCAUACACAUGACCAUUUUGUUUUUUUUUUUUUUCUAAUUGGAAGGGGCGUUAUUGGCAUAAUGCCCCACUACGCCACUUUUGCUAUAAUGCCCCAACGCUGAGUAGGAUGCCACGUGUCGGAUAAUGCCCCAUGAUAGGGGCAUUAUGUUUGUUCACCACUACACAUGGUCUAACCAACUAUACACCCAGACGAAAACUUUAUAUCAGGAUAAGGCGAUAACGGUGGCACCUCAAAUAUCCCUUUCCCGUUACCCUCACCAAAAUCCCAAACAGCCGUCCAACUAGACGGCGUUAACGGCACAACACCACCCCCAUCCGUUGUCUUAACGACGUCACACACCUCGGUUUCCGGCUCAACUUUCGGUUGUUUCCAGGGUUCAACAUCUACUUCCGUCUCUCUAACAACCCUUUUCCGCCCACUACUCUUCCCCUCCGCCAGCGAACACCCAAUUUCCAAUGGGAAAUUUAAUAUCGCCUUAUUACCACGAAGCUUAAACGCUGCACGGUCGUACGCCUUAGCGGCCUGUACGGUCGUGUCAAACGUCCCUAACCAAACCCGUGUCCCUUUUUUAUUCGGGUCACGGAUUUCGGCUGCAAACUUUCCCCACGGCCGUUGUCUUACUCCUCUAUAAUGUAUUCUUUCCGCCACUAAGGGAAUUGAGAUGUUUAUAUCGGGUUUUCGUUCUUUUAAAGUAUUACGGUAAUUAGUUUCAAGUUUACCAUUAAUUGAUGGUGAAGUUUGAGGGUAUGUUUGAAAGAAGGAUGCGUCAUCGAUGAGGAGGUGUUGGCGGAUGAGGUCUAGAGUUGAGGAUUCUUGAUCUGAAGACAUUGAUGAUGAUGAUGAUGAUGCUAAAUGGAAUUGAAUUGUUGAAUUUGAAGUGGAAAAAAGAGGAGUGAUAUGAAAAGAUUUAUAGGGGUGAAUUUGAAGGUGAAAGGUGGGAGAGAGGGUGAUUCGGGGAUGAAGGAAGGAAGCAUCUGCAUAAAGUGAAAUGAGUUUGGUUUUAUCUUGCUUUGUUAUCAUCCCAUGCAACUUGCUUCAUCCAUCUCACCUAGAACUCGAGAAAUGGAUGGCAAAGGAGGUAAUAAGUCAUAACGGGUUUGGUGAUUGGUAUGUCUUUAUAGCUGUUGGACCCCGACGAC